GGUGACAAGUUGGACUCAGGCUUGAGAGCCUGGGUAUGCCCAUUCGAGUCUUGUGCUGGAUUCGGAUCGGGUUAUUGAGUACAAGAUCCAAAUUGACCCAAAAAAUUAAAUGGGUCGGGUCGAGUCUGAAACCAGUAAAUCUAGACCCGACCCGAAAUAUAAAAUGGAUCUAAUUUUAGAAUCCAAUCCGACCCUGCGGGUCCUUUAAAAUGGUUCAGG
RNAcentral lists this long non-coding RNA (219 nucleotides) under Elaeis guineensis (African oil palm). Its description in RNAcentral is "long non-coding RNA (EGUI_LNC003087)". The record is from RNAcentral. Lineage: Eukaryota; Viridiplantae; Streptophyta; Magnoliopsida; Arecales; Arecaceae.